RNAcentral lists this ribosomal RNA (462 nucleotides) under uncultured bacterium. Its description in RNAcentral is "partial 16S ribosomal RNA". It matches the Rfam family "Bacterial small subunit ribosomal RNA", at positions 338 to 795 of the family's 1533-position model. The record is from RNAcentral.
CCUACGGGGGGCAGUAGGGAAUCUUCCACAAUGGACGAAAGUCUGAUGGAGCAACGCCGCGUGAGUGAAGAAGGGUUUCGGCUCGUAAAGCUCUGUUGGUAGUGAAGAAAGAUAGAGGUAGUAACUGGCCUUUAUUUGACGGUAAUUACUUAGAAAGUAACGGCUAACUACGUGCCAGCAGCCGCGGUAAUACGGAGGUGGCAAGCGUUGUCCGGAUUUAUUGGGCGUAAAGCGAGUGCAGGCGGUUCAAUAAGUCUGAUGUGAAAGCCUUCGGCUCAACCGGAGAAUUGCAUCAGAAACUGGUGAACUUGAGUGCAGAAGAGGAGAGUGGAACUCCAUGUGUAGCGGUGGAAUGCGUAGAUAUAUGGAAGAACACCAGUGGCGAAGGCGGCUCUCUGGUCUGCAACUGACGCUGAGGCUCGAAAGCAUGGGUAGCGAACAGGAUUAGAUACCCCAGUAGUC